GACAGAGGGUGCAAACGUUGCCCGGAAUCACUGGGCGUAAAGGGCGCGUAGGCGGGAAUGUAAGUCGGGCGUGAAAUCCCCAGGCUCAACCUGGGAACUGCACUCGAAACUGCGUUUCUUGAGUAUCGGAGAGGAAAGCGGAAUUCCUGGUGUAGAGGUGAAAUUCGUAGAUAUCAGGAGGAACACCAGUGGCGAAGGCGGCUUUCUGGACGGUAACUGACGCUGAGGCGCGAAAGCGUGGGGAGCAAACAGG
Molecule: ribosomal RNA, 253 nt
Filed under: uncultured bacterium
Lineage: Bacteria
Description: partial 16S ribosomal RNA
Rfam family: Bacterial small subunit ribosomal RNA
Source: RNAcentral